Molecule: ribosomal RNA, 497 nt
Filed under: uncultured bacterium
Lineage: Bacteria
Description: partial 16S ribosomal RNA
Rfam family: Bacterial small subunit ribosomal RNA
Source: RNAcentral
GAUGAACGCUGGCGGCGUGCCUAAUACAUGCAAAUCGAGCGAACGGACGAGAAGCUUGCUUCUCUGAUGUUAGCGGCGGACGGGUGAGUAACACGUGGAUAACCUACCUAUAAGACUGGGAUAACUUCGGGAAACCGGAGCUAGUACCGGAUAAUAUUUUGAACCGCAUGGUUCAAAAGUGAAAGACGGUCUUGCUGUCACUUAUAGAUGGAUCCGCGCUGCAUUAGCUAGUUGGUAAGGUAACGGCUUACCAAGGCAACGAUGCAUAGCCGACCUGAGAGGGUGAUCGGCCACACUGGAACUGAGACACGGUCCAGACUCCUACGGGAGGCAGCAGUAGGGAAUCUUCCGCAAUGGGCGAAAGCCUGACGGAGCAACGCCGCGUGAGUGAUGAAGGUCUUCGGAUCGUAAAACUCUGUUAUUAGGGAAGAACAUAUGUGUAAGUAACUGUGCACAUCUUGACGGUACCUAAUCAGAAAGCCACGGCUAACUACGUG